This 462-nucleotide ribosomal RNA is filed under the name uncultured bacterium. RNAcentral's name for it is "partial 16S ribosomal RNA". It matches the Rfam family "Bacterial small subunit ribosomal RNA", at positions 28 to 507 of the family's 1533-position model. The record is from RNAcentral.
GACGAACGCUGGUGGCGUGCUUAACACAUGCAAGUCGAACGGAAAGGCCCUUCGGGGUACUCGAGUGGCGAACGGGUGAGUAACACGUGGGUGAUCUGCCCUGCACUUUGGGAUAAGCCUGGGAAACUGGGUCUAAUACCGAAUAGGACCACGCGCUUCAUGGUGUGUGGUGGAAAGCUUUUGCGGUGUGGGAUGGGCCCGCGGCCUAUCAGCUUGUUGGUGGGGUAAUGGCCUACCAAGGCGACGACGGGUAGCCGGCCUGAGAGGGUGACCGGCCACACUGGGACUGAGAUACGGCCCAGACUCCUACGGGAGGCAGCAGUGGGGAAUAUUGCACAAUGGGCGCAAGCCUGAUGCAGCGACGCCGCGUGAGGGAUGACGGCCUUCGGGUUGUAAACCUCUUUCAAUAGGGACGAAGCGCAAGUGACGGUACCUAUAGAAGAAGCACCGGCCAACUACGUG